Molecule: long non-coding RNA, 1328 nt
Filed under: Aquilegia coerulea
Lineage: Eukaryota; Viridiplantae; Streptophyta; Magnoliopsida; Ranunculales; Ranunculaceae
Description: long non-coding RNA (ACOE_LNC002194)
Source: RNAcentral
UCCGGUUUUUGGGGGAUCGGAUAUCCGCCCCUAAACGAUAUUUUCACCUAUGAGUGUAAGCACUCAUCCUCUUUCUUACAGUUAAUUUUUUUUGAUAGAAUGCAGGGAUCACACUGUACAAGGAUGUACUACUGGAGGUAUAUCUCCAGAGGUAGUAAUCUGCUGACAGUAGCAUAUAUACUGGUCAGAAUCUGUAAUUGUUCCAGAGUUUUGAAUAUUAAUUUUACGUUCCAAGGAAAUGGACACUGAUUCAAGAAUUGCAAGAUAGUUGGAGGUGAUGAGGAGCUCAUUCCAUUCGCUAUUAAUUAGGAGGAUAGAUAUGUGUCAACUGGAAGGUAUAUGUCCACUACUAUUAUACGAAAUUGCAGUUCUGGACAGGUGGGCUGCCAAUAUUGCUCUCUGUAUGAUUUCCUCUCAUAUACAGAUUUUUACACUUUGAAAAAUGGCCUAUUACAGGAUCAGGUAGCCAAGAUUGAAGACUAAACCUCAUGGAACAUGCAUGAGAGGAGACCAACUUUGCAAUGGGAGCAAGAACAAUGGGACCAGCUGUUGACUUUGCUCAGACAACAGAGAUUAAGCAAUGAGCCUGACAACUGGAUAUGGUGCCCUACAAGUAAGGAGUCUUUCACAGUCAAAAGUUUUUAUGAUAAACUUGAAGAAGAAAGGAGAGCCCUCAAUGCUGCUACACUGCCUGGUUUCCCUUACAACUUGGUAGGGUCUACUGAUAUCCCUUGUAAGAUCAAUUUUUUUUUUCUGGUGCUCUGUACAAGGUAGAAUCCAAACCACGGAUCACCUUGUCAGAAGAGGAAUGGACCUGCCUGACGUAUGCAUUGUCUCUAAGCAGUACCCUGAAACUGCUACACACUUCACUGGUUGUAAGGGUACUGGAGAAAUGGCCAAGGCAUAGGAGAAAAGGGAUCGGAGCAAACUUACUAAGUCUCUUACCUUAUGCAAUUAUGUGGAAUGUAUGGCUCACAAGGAAUGAUUACAUCUUCAAAGUGAAGCCGCCUAAUCUCGACAAACUCUGAAGCAGAAUUAAGCUUCUCUGUAGUUCUGGAUUGGAGGUAGAGCUCUGAACAAAUAUUAUACCUAUGCAUGCAGAUCUGACCAACAACUGGGAGUUAAUGCUGCUGCUGUAAUUGUCGAUUGUAAUUUGCUUUGGUUAUGUACACACUCAAGAGUUGUGAACUAUAAUACUAUAUGCAGUGAAUCUCUCUCUCACUGUCAUCUUGUUACCAUCAAUUAAAAGCGCCAAUUUAUCUAAAAAAGAAACCCUCAGACAUAGCAAUUUCAAUUCACUACAGUAAUUAUAAGUUGACAUUACUCAC